GAUGAACGCUGGCGGCGUGCCUAAUACAUGCAAGUCGAGCGAACAGACGAGGAGCUUGCUCCUCUGACGUUAGCGGCGGACGGGUGAGUAACACGUGGAUAACCUACCUAUAAGACUGGGAUAACUUCGGGAAACCGGAGCUAAUACCGGAUAAUAUAUUGAACCGCAUGGUUCAAUAGUGAAAGACGGUUUUGCUGUCACUUAUAGAUGGAUCCGCGCCGCAUUAGCUAGUUGGUAAGGUAACGGCUUACCAAGGCAACGAUGCGUAGCCGACCUGAGAGGGGAGUGGGCCAACUGGAAACUGAGAAACGGCCCAGACUCCUAGGGGAGGACGCAGUAGGGAAUUUUCCGAAAGGGGCGAAAGCCGGACGGACAAACGGCGGGGGAGUGAAGAAGGUUUUCGGAUCGGAAAACUCUUUUAUUAGGGAAAAAAAAAUGUGAAAGUAACUAUGCACGUUUUGGCGGUACCUAAUAAAAAAGCCGCGGCAAACUACGU
This 496-nucleotide ribosomal RNA is filed under the name uncultured bacterium. Its description in RNAcentral is "partial 16S ribosomal RNA". It matches the Rfam family "Bacterial small subunit ribosomal RNA", at positions 28 to 506 of the family's 1533-position model. The record is from RNAcentral.